UCACAUCAAUUACAUCCCAGCUCCUUUGUUCUAACUGGGGUGAUCUGAGCCGGAUCACCCCUACCAGAUCACCCCAGUUUAAGUUUCUUUGUUAUGCAUGCUUUCCUUUGUUCUGUAACAUUUUGGCGGGAAUGACAAAUCCAGUAUAAAACUUAUAAUUAAUUAUACGGAGAAGACUAUCUAUCAAAAUCCACGUAGAAAAAAUCCAGUGUAUAUGCUGGGGUUCGAACUCAAGACCUUUAGCAUAUCAAGCCACGACACAUACCACUACACCAGGACGACUGGAUACGAACUAUCAGAAAUUUAACAUACUUAAAGGAAGCAAGAUAUUUUUAUAACUGGGGCGAGUUGGCAGACCUUUACUCAGUGGGGUUUAAACCCUUUUCGUUAAAUAAAUGAGUUGUAAGACUGAUUGUUCAAUUUGAUUUUACACUUUUUUAAAGUUGGGCGAGUCGGUUACAAGAGUGGGGCGAUUUUUUCAUAAAGUGGCGAUAUAGUGUGGGCCGAUUGGCCAGUGGGACGAGUUGACAUUAUUUGAUAUCUACUCAUCGUGUUUGGGGGUCAUAAAGGGUAUACAUCAUAUAGUAAUAUAUAAAGUAUAUUAUAAUGGUUGUGUGGCGUUCUAAACUAGAUUUUAUGAAUUGUAAAUGGUUUUUCGUCUAUUCUUAAUCAGCUGGGAUGUAAAAUAGUUAUCCCAUUCGGACUUGGUGUGUCAGUGUAAGAUCACCCUCUGGCCUCCGGCCAUCGGGAUGAUCUUACACUGACACAC
This 769-nucleotide long non-coding RNA is filed under the name Mytilus galloprovincialis (Mediterranean mussel). The record is from RNAcentral. Lineage: Eukaryota; Metazoa; Mollusca; Bivalvia; Mytilida; Mytilidae.